GGAGAGUUGUCCGAGCUGGUCGAAGGAGCACGAUUGGAAAUCGUGUAAACGUCAAAAGCGUUUCGAGGGUUCGAAUCCCUUGCUCUCCG
Clostridium sp. CAG:413 is the source of this 89-nucleotide non-coding RNA. Lineage: Bacteria; Bacillati; Bacillota; Clostridia; Eubacteriales; Clostridiaceae. The record is from Rfam.